CAGAACUCUGGAGGAUACUUUGGAGGCUUGCAGACACGGCUGUCGUUAGCGCCGCUCGCACCUCUCGGCACGCCUCGUGGUCUUGGCAACCAAGAAUCAAAUUACAGCCCAUGCAAAUGGACCUCCUGUUCAUCUUGUCCCGUGAAGUCCUACCAGCGUGUUCCUGUGCUCUAGUUUUUAUUUUUCCAAGUAUAACCUUUCUGCCUGUCCUGACCCUGGUCCUGCCUGCCGUCCUGUACCUGCCUGACCCUGAUUUGGAUUACGACUCUUUGCCUGCCUUGACAUACUUUUUGCCUGCUCCUUGUACUAUAAUAAACUCUGAGACUCGUA
Oncorhynchus gorbuscha (pink salmon) is the source of this 330-nucleotide long non-coding RNA. RefSeq lists it as uncharacterized. The record is from RefSeq and is a predicted model, not a curated record. Lineage: Eukaryota; Metazoa; Chordata; Actinopteri; Salmoniformes; Salmonidae. The transcript is spliced from 2 exons.